UCCUACGGGAGGCAGCAGUGAGGAAUAUUGGUCAAUGGGCGUGAGCCUGAACCAGCCAAGUAGCGUGCAGGAAGACGGCCCUACGGGUUGUAAACUGCUUUUAUGCGGGGAUAAACGUCGCUACGUGUAGCGAUUUGCAGGUACCGCAUGAAUAAGGACCGGCUAAUUCCGUGCCAGCAGCCGCGGUAAUACGGAAGGUCCUGGCGUUAUCCGGAUUUAUUGGGUUUAAAGGGAGCGUAGGCGGCUUAUCAAGCGUGCUGUGAAAUGCGGUGGCUCAACCACUGGAGUGCAGCGCGAACUGGUUUGCUUGAGUGCGCGGAACGAGGGCGGAAUUCGCGGUGUAGCGGUGAAAUGCUUAGAUAUCGCGAAGAACUCCGAUUGCGAAGGCAGCUCUCGGCAGCGCUACUGACGCUGAUGCUCGAAGGUGCGGGUAUCGAACAGGAUUAGAUACCCUGGUAGUCC
This 462-nucleotide ribosomal RNA is filed under the name uncultured bacterium. Its description in RNAcentral is "bacterial SSU rRNA". It matches the Rfam family "Bacterial small subunit ribosomal RNA", at positions 337 to 796 of the family's 1533-position model. The record is from RNAcentral.